RNAcentral lists this ribosomal RNA (1694 nucleotides) under human gut metagenome. Its description in RNAcentral is "bacterial LSU rRNA". It matches the Rfam family "Bacterial large subunit ribosomal RNA", at positions 13 to 1715 of the family's 2925-position model. The record is from RNAcentral.
GAAAGAGCACAAGGGGAAUGCCUUGGCACCGGAAGCCGAAGAAGGACGUGACAAGCUGCGAAAAGCUGCGGGGAAUCGCAAAUAGGUAUCGAUCCGCAGAUAUCCGAAUGGGGAAACCUGGCUGGGAAAAGCCCAGUCGUCCAUAUCUGAAUACAUAGGGUAUGGAAGGGAAACGCCGUGAACUGAAACAUCUAAGUAGCGGCAGGAAGAGAAAGAAAAAUCGAUUUCCUUAGUAGCGGCGAGCGAAGAGGAAAAAGGCCAAACCGACAGACCUAGUCAGUCGGGGUUGCGGACUGCGAACCGUAUUGGCAAUUGAUAGCUGAACUGCUUUGGGAAAGCAGGCCAAAGAGGGUGAAAGCCCCGUAAGCGAAAUCAAGAGCCAGCGAGCAGGAUCCAGAGUACCACGGGACACGAGAAACCCUGUGGGAAGCCGGGGGGACCACCCCCCAAGCCUAAAUACUAACCGGUGACCGAUAGUGAAACAGUACUGUGAAGGAAAGGUGAAAAGGACCCCGGGAGGGGAGUGAAAGAGAACCUGAAACCUUGUGCUUACAAACAGUCAAAGGCCUACGGGCUGAUGGCGUACUUUUUGUAGAACGGUCCGGCGAGUUACUAAUGCCAGCGAGGUUAAGAUGUCAGAAGCAUCGGAGCCGAAGGGAAACCAAGUCUGAAUAGGGCGUAGAGUUGGUAUUAGUAGACCCGAAACCGGGUGACCUAUCCAUGUCCAGGUUGAAGGAACCGUAAAAGGUUUUGGAGGACCGAACACACAUGUGUUGAAAAACGUGGUGAUGAGGUGUGGAUAGCGGAGAAAUUCCAAUCGAACUCGGAGAUAGCUGGUUCUCCUCGAAAUAGCUUUAGGGCUAGCCUCGAGAGGAGUCUAACGGAGGUAAAGCACUGAACUGACGCGGGGCCCAAAAAGGUUACCAACUCAAAUCAAACUAAGAAUGCCGUCAAGAUACCCUCGGGAGUCAGACUACGUGAGAUAAGUUUCGUGGUCAAAAGGGAAAGAGCCCAGACCGACAGCUAAGGUCCCAAAGUGUAUGUUAAGUGGAAAAGGAUGUGGGAUUUCGAAGACAACUAGGAUGUUGGCUUAGAAGCAGCCAUACAUUUAAAGAGUGCGUAAUAGCUCACUAGUCGAGAGAACCUGCGCCGAAAAUAAUCGGGGCUAAAACAUACCACCGAAGCUACGGAUUUGUUACAGAGGUAACAAGUGGUAGAGGAGCAUACUGCAAGGACGAAGCCAAAAACGAGAGUGAUGGUGGACGAAGCAGUAGAGAGAAUGCCGGAAUGAGUAGCGAGAUAUAUGUGAGAACCAUAUAGGCCGAAUAUCUAAGGAUUCCUGAGUAAAGCUAAUCUACUCAGGGUAAGUCGGGACCUAAGGCGAGGACGAGAGUCGUAGUCGAUGGACAACUGGUAGAGAUUCCAGUACUAUGAAUAAUCAGAACUGUGGGGACGCAGGAGGAUAGAUGGACCGCGGAAAGGGAAGACGCGGCCAAAUACAAAGUCAAGGUUGGGAGGCAAAACCACCAAUUGAUGAUGAAGUAUGACGGGGACUGAAAGAAAGUAAGGAAGUCAUCGAAUCCACACUGCCGAGAAAAGCCGCUAUAGCGUUAUUCAUACCCGUACCGUAAACCGACACAGGUAGAUGAGGAGAAAAUCCACAGGCCGACGGGAGAAGUGUUGUUAAGGAACUC